This 134-nucleotide ribosomal RNA is filed under the name uncultured eukaryote. RNAcentral describes it as "partial 18S ribosomal RNA". It matches the Rfam family "Eukaryotic small subunit ribosomal RNA", at positions 1299 to 1458 of the family's 1831-position model. The record is from RNAcentral.
UGGUGGAGCGAUUUGUCUGGUUAAUUCCGAUAACGAACGAGACUCUGGCCUAUUAAAUAGACGAUGUAUUAAAAGUAUGUCGUACUUCUUAGAGGGACAAGCGGCGUCUAGCCGCAUGAAAUAGAGCAAUAACA